Molecule: small nucleolar RNA, 131 nt
Organism: Phyllostomus discolor (pale spear-nosed bat)
Lineage: Eukaryota; Metazoa; Chordata; Mammalia; Chiroptera; Phyllostomidae
Product: small nucleolar RNA SNORA68
Exons: 1
Source: RefSeq, a predicted model, not a curated record
CAGGCACCUAAACCCAAGGACUACUGUUUGCGGUAGCAGCAGUUUAAGCAAAGGUGCUAACAGCAAGCAGAUCUCAUUGCCUUGGGGGCUGUGCCUCUGCCCCUCAAAAUGAAUCAAGAGGUUCUACACCC